RNAcentral lists this ribosomal RNA (391 nucleotides) under Gerrhosaurus nigrolineatus (black-lined plated lizard). Its description in RNAcentral is "partial 12S ribosomal RNA". It matches the Rfam family "Bacterial small subunit ribosomal RNA", at positions 785 to 1376 of the family's 1533-position model. Lineage: Eukaryota; Metazoa; Chordata; Lepidosauria; Squamata; Gerrhosauridae. The record is from RNAcentral.
CCCCACUAUGUCUGGCCAUAAACUAUAAUAUUAUCCUACCAAAUAUUCGCCAGAGAAUUACAAGCAACAUGCUUGAAACUCAAAGGACUUGGCGGUGUCCCACACUCCCCUAGAGGAGCCUGUCCUAUAAUCGAUAACCCGCGCUAAACCCUACCACCUAAGGCCAACCCAGCCUAUAUACCGCCGUCGUCAGCCCACCCUAUUGAGGGUCCAAAAGUGGGCAAAAUUGUCAAUACACAAAAACGUCAGGUCAAGGUGUAGCUAAUAAGGUGGCAGAGAUGGGCUACAUUUUCUAGCAUAGAAAAUCACGAAAAAUGCAAUGAAACAUGCAUUUGAAGGCGGAUUUAGUAGUAAAGAAAGACUAAAGAAUACUUCCUUUAACCAGACACUG